Molecule: non-coding RNA, 442 nt
Organism: Cinara cedri
Lineage: Eukaryota; Metazoa; Arthropoda; Insecta; Hemiptera; Aphididae
Source: the annotation of a GenBank genome assembly
CUCUGAGUUUAAACGAAUUCAAUUUCCGGUUCGUCUUGCAUUCACCAUGAUGAUUAACAAAUAACAAGAACAAUCCUUGAGUGUUUGUGGUCUGAAUUUAGAAAAUGCAUGUUUUUCUUAUGAACAAUUGUACGUGGCAUGUUCACGUGUCGGCAAACCAAGUAUACCCCAUACAGCAAAAUACGUAACUUCAUCAAAUGUAAGGAGACCGUGAUCACCACCAAGAGAGUUCAGUCAGCUCAAGACAACGCAGAGUAUAACAGCAUCACUACCGACGCACGAGAAGGAGGAGCAAUGUCACCUCCACUCCAACCCGUUCAGUCAUUUAUAUACUGUACUUAUAACUAAUAAAUACAACUAAGUCUUGACCCGGGUCCGGUGUAAAUGUAUUUACUCAUGAUUAUAAUUUGUCAACUGUGUUUUGUUUAAAUAUUAAUAAAUC